This 76-nucleotide transfer RNA is filed under the name Candidatus Liptonbacteria bacterium CG11_big_fil_rev_8_21_14_0_20_35_14. RNAcentral describes it as "tRNA-Ala". It matches the Rfam family "tRNA". Rfam says of the family: Transfer RNA (tRNA) molecules are approximately 80 nucleotides in length. Their secondary structure includes four short double-helical elements and three loops (D, anti-codon, and T loops). Further hydrogen bonds mediate the characteristic L-shaped molecular structure. tRNAs have two regions of fundamental functional importance: the anti-codon, which is responsible for specific mRNA codon recognition, and the 3' end, to which the tRNAs corresponding amino acid is attached (by aminoacyl-tRNA synthetases). tRNAs cope with the degeneracy of the genetic code in two manners: having more than one tRNA (with a specific anti-codon) for a particular amino acid; and 'wobble' base-pairing, i.e. permitting non-standard base-pairing at the 3rd anti-codon position. Lineage: Bacteria; Candidatus Liptoniibacteriota. The record is from RNAcentral.
GGGCCGUUAGCUUAGUUGGUAGAGCGCCUGCUUUGCAAGCAGGAGGUCAGGAGUUCGAAUCUCCUACGGUCCACCG